UGCGGAAUGAGGCACCGGAGCCGGCGCGGCUCGCAGCCGUGUCGGCUGGUUCGUGUCCGGCUACCGCAG
This 69-nucleotide transfer RNA is filed under the name Rhodococcus coprophilus. RNAcentral describes it as "tRNA-Ala(cgc)". The record is from RNAcentral. Lineage: Bacteria; Bacillati; Actinomycetota; Actinomycetes; Mycobacteriales; Nocardiaceae.